RNAcentral lists this long non-coding RNA (1548 nucleotides) under Ananas comosus (pineapple). RNAcentral's name for it is "long non-coding RNA (ACOM_LNC006805)". The record is from RNAcentral. Lineage: Eukaryota; Viridiplantae; Streptophyta; Magnoliopsida; Poales; Bromeliaceae.
UAAUAGGGCUAAACUCUUAAUCCGACUUAAGCAUUUUGGGUGGUGGCUAGACCCAAGAGGUUAAGAGAGUUAAGUGUGUAGGACGGGAGUAGUCCUAGGAUGGGUGACGCCCUGGGAAGUCGGGACGUCACAUAACUUAUGAAUUUGAAUUUAAAUUAAAUUUUAAUUUACAUAAAAUUUUAUUUAAAACUUAAAUUAAAUUUAUGGAUUCAAAUUAAAAUUUAAAUUGUAAUUUUAAUUUUGAAUUUGAAUAAAUCGAAAUUUAGUUUUAUAUUUUAAAUUAUCCACUCAACUUCAAAGUUUAAUUUUUAAAAAAAAAAUAUAUUUAAAAUUUUGACAUUAUUUCAAAAUUUUGAUGUAAAUUUUUAAUAUUUAAUUUUCAAAUUGAAUUUAAAUUAAUAUAUUAUAAAGAUAAAGUUAGUAUAUUAAUUUGAUUACGUUUUUUAUAUCUACCUGAACUAAAUACCGACAAUGGGAAUGAUUUAUUCAGAUUUCGAUUUAGGUGAUGAAUCAAACAAAAUUAGGUAACGCAUCAUUCCAAUUCUGAUUCCAGUUUAUUCCAAUUCCGAUUCUGAUUCUGAUUCCGACUUCGAAUCAAACACGCCCUUAAAUGCAAAUAAGAAAAAUUGAUAAAGGUAAAAGGAUAUAUUUGAAAGGGUAAAAAGUCAAAAUACUUUUUAUAUUCCCUAGUUUAAAGACAAAUAAGAAAAGUUGGUGACUAUAAAAAGAUACAUUUGAAAUGGUAAAAUAGUAAUUUUACAUAAAUAAAGGUUGUUACUAAUCGUUCACUAACUGAAUUUAACUCUAUGGACAUGUUUGGUUCGACGUUGGAAUUGGAAUCGGAAUCGAAAUAAGCUGAAAUCAGAAUCGGAAUAACUUAUUACCUAAUUUUGUUUGGUUUAUCACCUAAAUCGGAAUCAGAAUAAAUCAUUUCCAUUGUCCGUGUUUGGUUCAGAUAGAUAUAAAAAACACAAUCAAAUUAAUAUACUAACUUUAUCUUUAUAAUAUAUUAAUUUAAAUUCAAUUUAAAAAUUAAAUAUUAAAAAUUUACAUCAAAACUUAUGUGCUAUUAGAAGCACGGAGACCUUCAUGCUCUUAAACCGUUUUCGACGAUAGAGCUUCGGAAUCGACUAUUGGUUUCGUUAGACUUGAUUUAGUGUAUUUGAAAUAUCUAAAAAAUAAUUUUUGUCAUUUUUGGAUAUCAUUUAUCUAGCAAUCAAAAGGGUUCAAAAUCAACUGCUAAAAAUAAAAAUCUCAUAAAAAGUUGUGAUAUAGCACUAAAAUUUUUAAUCAGAGAUAUUGAUCUUACAGUAAAUAGUAUAAAAAAUUUUCUAUCAAAAGUUCAUUUGAUUUUAAUACUUCUAUGUCGUUAAACUUGCAAAUGAUAUAUAUCAAAUAUUAAAAAUUAUUGAUUUGGAACCCUUUCGAUCGUUAGGUAAAUGAUAUCGAAAAAUCACAAAAUUUAUUUUCUAUAUACUUUUAAUAAACUAAAUCAAAUAUAAUGGAGCCGAUUACUAAUUCGAAAUCUCCAUCAUCGAAAACGACUUA